CAGCCACCUGUGUGUGUACACAAUAAUCUCCUCUUGGUCUACAUUCACGUUCUACAGUGCAAACGAUUCGGACAUCUCAAUUUCCCGUACCACAUCAUUUUGUCUUUCUAGGCUCUCAUAAUUCAACGCCAAGAAAUUAUUUUAAGAAUUUUCAAAUAGGCCCAAUUGAAACACUACAAAAAAACAUUUUUUUUCUUUUUCAGCGCAUAAUCAUACAACAAUUAAAAGUUGUCCAACUUCGAACCACUUUUGCUGCUGCAGCUGCAGCUGCUCUCUAGUUAAUUACAGCACUUUUUGAGUGUGAAUGAUCGGUUGAGUGAUAAGAUGGAGACUAGUGUACCAGCCCGACUUGCUGGCUCCGAGAUUCAUGGAUUCCGAACUAUGGAAGGUACAAGUAAUAUAUCCACACAUAUAAUUGUUACUGUGUGAAAUUUAUUUAUUUAUUUAUUUAUUUUGAGUAUUUUGAAUUUUUGAUUCGUCUGGGAGUUUGAUUUGGGUUAGUCUAAUACUGAAUUUUGGGAAUUUAGAGUUUUUACUUUUUAUUAUUCUAUGCUGACGUUAGUACUUGGAAUUAGAUAUUGGGGAAG
Molecule: long non-coding RNA, 587 nt
Organism: Olea europaea var. sylvestris
Lineage: Eukaryota; Viridiplantae; Streptophyta; Magnoliopsida; Lamiales; Oleaceae
Exons: 2
Source: RefSeq, a predicted model, not a curated record